AGUAGUUGGGAUUACAGGCAUGCACCACCACACCUGGCUAAUUUUGUAUUUUUAGUAGAGACUGGGUUUCUCCAUACUGGUCAGACUGGUCUCGAACUCCCAACCUCAGGUGAUCUGCCUGCCUUGGCCUCCCAAAGUGCUGGGAUUACAGGCAUGAGCCAUCGCACCCGGCCCCAUCAGGUUGUUUUUGUUCAACAGGAGUCUCUUGUAUGGCUCAGGACUGUCCACUCCGUACACCAGAGGACUUUGUGUUUCCAUUGCUUCCCAAUGAAGAAUUGAGAGAGAAAUACAGGCGCUACCUCUUCAGGGACUAUGUGGAGAGUCAUUACCAGCUCCAGCUGUGCCCUGGUGCAGACUGCCCCAUGGUUAUUCGGGUACAGGAGCCUAGAGCUCGCCGAGUACAGUGCAAUCGGUGCAACGAGGUCUUCUGGUAAGAGUG
Molecule: small RNA, 439 nt
Filed under: Pan troglodytes (chimpanzee)
Lineage: Eukaryota; Metazoa; Chordata; Mammalia; Primates; Hominidae
Description: retained intron
Source: RNAcentral